ACAGAAGAAUUUCACCAAGUAUAGGGUAGCCCGCGUAUACAGGUUAUUCCAACAGAAUAAUAAAGAAUGGAAUAACAGAAGUUCUCUUCAUGAAUACAAAAGAAAUAAUACCCCUUACCUUAAAAGAAACUGGAUAUAAGAGUAGGGAAGUAGCAGAAUACUUUUCUAUAGUUUCUCUAUAAUUUCUCUCUCUAGAGUUUCAGUGAAUUCGUAAGAAAUAAUGAAGGAAUGAGCUUCUAUUUAUAGAAGAAUGGACUGAAUAGUAACUAAUUCAUGAACGGUCCAGAUUGAUUUACUUUUAAACGGACGGUCCAUAUUGAUUUACUAUGCAGUAUUAAUAAAAUAUUCUAAUAAAACAAAAUCUUUUAAAUAAAAUAUAAUAUAUUCUAUUUAUAAUCUAAUAAAACGAAUAACUUUAUAAAAGUAUUCUGUUUUAUAUAAAAAGAUUUUACUAUGCAAAAACUAUGCAGGCACUAUGCAAACACUAUGCAUAAUAAAAUAUAAUAUAUUCUAAUUAUUGUCUAAUAAAACAAAUAACUUUAUAAAAGUAUUCUGUUUUAUAUAAAAAGAUUUUACUAUGCAAAACACUAUGCAUAAUAGAAUAUAAUAUAUUCUAUUUAUAGUCUAAUAAAACGAAUAACUUUAUAAAAGUAUUCUGUUUUAUAUAAAAAGCUUUUCUGUUUUAUUACAUUAAUAAUACUAAUAAAACAAAACUUCAUCAUCAUUAUUAUAAUUCACACUAUUAAUCGACCAGGUCGUUCCCAGGAAAGAGGGGGCUUUCCAAUAAGGAUUUCUCCCUAUUGGCGCGCAAUUAGGUGACCAAACCUCUCCUUGGCAGAACUUCUAGACAUCGUUAAUAUUGCAAAUAAUAAUAUUAAUAACUUUGUCAUCUCAAUUAUUGAUUUAAUAAUAUAUAAAAUAUCGACAAUAAUUGAAUCAAAUAACGUGAGAUACUAUGCAACAAUUACUGUAGCAAUAAUUGAACAAAACUGAGUGACUUCUCACGUAAGCAUCAAUAAUCAAUACCGUGUGCUACUAUGCAACCACGCGUAUUACUGUACUUUUACUACCGAGUAGUUCAACAGUUUUAACGGUAAAACUUCCGCCGUUAUUUUCAUAAAAAUAUUUUUGUCGUUUUCUCAAUCCGACAAUAAUUCCGUUGUGGGGUCCACCAAUGAUUGUGCCGUCGUACGAAUAUUCCCUGUUAAAACGAUUAUUCCCCGACCAAUCGAAUAUUAUAUAACAACUUGCAUACUUUGUAAAAUUUAUAAAUAUUACCCACAACUAUAACAUUAUAUCAAAUUCAUUCCAUAAUAUUCAAAAAAAUAUUUUGAGAAAUUUAAAUCUUUAUUCAUAAAAUUUGGGGUCUCACAAUCUCCCCUCCUUAUGAAAUUUCGCCGUCGAAAUUUAUGUACGUACUUGGUAUGUCGAACAGAUGAGGAUACCUUGACUUCAUUUCAGAUUCUAACUCUUGAGGUAAAACCUUUGAGUGUUGAAUACGAUCCUUCUUAUUCAAGAUUUUAACACGUAUUUUCUCAUACGUUAAAUCUUUCGCUAUCUCGUUCGGUUCUAAAUCAAUAAUGUGGUUCGGGUCAUCCACAUUUUUACGUAACAUCGAUACGUGAAAAACGUUAUGAACACGCGACAUACUUGGCAGUAAAACGAGUCUAUAGGCCAUAGUUCCUACUCGAUCGAGGAUUUCAAAUGGGCCAAUAAAAUCGAGGGCUGAGAUUUUCUCUCUUCAUCGAUUCUUGCUUCUAGAAUAACGCCCUCUUGAACCUUCUUCUUCACAUUCAUCAGCUCUGAGUAUGUAGCUUGAGUGGCUUUAACUUUAUCGAUUAAAGUCGAUUCUACUCGUAUAUUCGUUAUCUUCACGUGGGUCCUAGAGUCUUUAACUCUAUCUUCAUCAUUUGUAAGUUAUAUGAAAUGAGUUUUUGUGUUGAUCUUCUACCCAAAGCGUCAGCUACCACGUUCGCUCUUCCACGAUGAUAUUGAAGGGUAUGAUCGUAAUCUUCAACAGCUCGAGCAAACGUCUUUGGCGCAUGUUACGUUCAUUUUGGUUGAAGAAAUAUUGGAGGUUUUAAGAAAUGGGUUUUGUACUAAGGUCAAUACAAAAUUCAAUUUCACGCUCUAGGGGUAGGCUAGGAAGUCUUCAGAGAAUACGUCAGGAAAUUUAUUAAUAAUAGAAAUGUCAUUCAAAAAUGUGACUCUCGUCCAAGACUUAGAUAGCACAUCACAUUGAUACCUAUCAACUUGCCACCGUUAUUCACGACGUCCCCUAAGGAUAUUCUGGCUUCGGUGUAUUCCAAGACUUAGAAGUCACCAGCGAAAGGUUCGGGGCUCUUUACUUAUGGCUUGAUAUGACAAUGAUUGACUUUAGUGGUUUGGUUGCUUGAAUUCGUAUAACAGGUUGGUUAGGAAUAUAAAAGCUAACAAUCUCACGAAAAUAAUCAAUUUUAGCAUGAUGAGUAGUUAAUCAAUCGAUUCCUCAAAUCACAUCAAAGGCAAGUAUUUUCAAAGAGAUAAGAUCGACAGGUAAGGUGAAAGUGUCGAUUUGAAUCAACAAGAUUUAUAAACAUUGGAGGUAACGAAGGUUUCUACUAAUGAAGUUUUAACUAAUAAGUCAAAGUCUAACUUCUCUGGGGUCAAAUUUAAACGUUGAGCGCAAGCAAGAGAGAUAAAAGAAUGGGUAGAACUGGUAUCUAAUAAGGUAUAGACUUCGUAAAAAUUUAUAAUUAACUAACCCGUGCUAACUUCGUUCGGGUUACUUGCUUUUUGAGAAGACAUGAAAAACGCUCUCCCUGAAACCACUGACUUUGUUUUGUCCGUAUCCGCCUUUGGUGCCACCGUCCCAGCUGGACUUGACUUCACUAUAUGACAAAAUCAAGCUAAAUGACCUUCUCUUCUUGAAAUUUCCACUUCUAUUAUCUUGGCCAUGAUUACCACCGAAGUGGUUACCAUUCUUGACAUGAUAAUUUCACCCAUGAUGGUCAUCAUUGUUCCGAUGGCCGUUGCCACCGGUACAAUUAUUAUCGUGUUGUUGGUCAUUACCUUUUGGUUGUGCUAACUCAUUAUCGCGCUCCAACAACAUCUGAAUAUAAACAAAGUUUAUGAGAAAUGAGGUAUUGACGUAUAUCGGGUUUCAAACCUCUUAGAAACAUUCACGUCAUUCGCUCCUCAUUAUCGACCAAAUGGGAUGCAAACCGGGAUAACUCCGCAAACUUAGCCUCGUACUGCGAUACAGUCAUAUUAUUUUGCUCCAUGGCUUAUUUCAACAUUUCAGAUGCCAUUUUCAAACACUGUCACAAAACAAGUGUUAAUUAACAUAUCACAUAUUAUCUCUAUACUCUGACCGACCAAUUAAAUACCAAAUAAACUUAGGUAGGUCAUACUAGCGAAGGAAUUCCCCGUCUCUUCCCUCCUAGUUCUUGUCUCAUAUCUAAGCCAGGGAUCAUAUCCCUAAGCUUUGAUACCAACAGUCACGCCCCCAAAAUAGGUAUACAUCACUUAUUCUGAGUCGUCAUAAACAUGGUACAGGAUAUAAAUACAACUUAAUAAUACAACAAUCUUGUAAAAUAUGACAAAACAUAAAUUGAGAGUUUUAAAAAGAAUAUUGUCAUCUAGAAAAUAUCCACGCUUAAAGGAGUCCUCAUUACAUUUAUUGUCACACUAUUUACCAGAAUAGUGAAGACUACUAAUACUAUCAUCUGGACCAUCACUCUGUUCCCCGACUAGUCCCGGCUACGUUCUCAUUUCCUGAAGAGAAUAGUGAAAGAAAGGGGUGAGCUCAACUAGUCCAAUAAGAAAUAUUAUGACUAAAAUAAUGUAGAAUAAAUUAUCAUUAGUCUUCAACAAUGUUAAACUGAUAAAAUAUAACAAACAUCAAGUUUAACUGCAGCGGUACAAGCAAUCCAUUAAAAGAGUCAAGUAGAGAAUAAAAUCUACUAUCUUUUAUGAUUUAAAAAGGUUUUUCAUCACUUUUAUCGAUGAGACUCAGCUUAAUAAAUAAUGCACGUCAUCCAUGCACUGCGACCAAGGAUAUUCAUUAGUAUCACAACCACAAAUUAUCCAUGCACUACGGGCCAAGGAUAUUCAUGUAUUCAUCAAUGGUUAUGAUCAUGCCAACAACUGUCCAUCAAUGCACUACGGGCCAAUGAGGACUUGUACCACAUCAUUUGUAACAUUAUGGUCAUGAUUAUACCGAAUAAUCCCUAGUCAUAAUCAUACCAAAUCCAUCUAUGCACAAUAAGCCACAUAUGACUUUCAACAUAAUAUAAGCAUGAGUAUGAUGACAAUGAUAUAAGAAUCCAAUAAAACAAGCUCAAGAAUUAAUUUAUCCAGAAUUCAAUAACGUCCAAAUUGUCAACAUGAUACUGCUUUGUAGAGUAAAAUUCAAGAAUGCUCAGAAGAAUAUUUCCAUGAAAAGAUACUGGAUGAAUCGCAAAUAUCAAGGAUAUUCCACUAAUAUCAUGGAGUAUAGAAGUCAAAACUUUAACCAACUGAGUAUAAUAGAAUAUAUGAAACUGCAAAUGGAUUUUCGCACGCCAUGCGGUAAUCCACGUAUAAAGAUCAUUUCCACAAUUUAAUAAGGAAUGAAUACAAAGGAUCAUUCACCAUGCAUGUGGUAAUCCUAACAGAAUAAUAAAGAAUGGAAUAACAAAAGGAUUCACCAUGUGUGUGAUAGACUGCAUAGACAGGUUAUUCCUAACAGAAUAAUAAAGAAUGGAACCAGGUCAUGCGUAAACGCACAGACAAGAUAUUCCAACAGAAUAAUAAAGAACGGAACCAGGUCAGGCGAAAUUCGCACUGAUAGGAUAUUCCAAUAGAAUAAUAAAGAAUGGAAUAACAACAGAAAUCACCAUGCAUGCGAUAGACCGCACAGACAGGUUAUUCCAACAAAAUAAUAAUUAAUGGAACAAGGUUAGGCGUAAUACGCACCGACAGGAUAUUCCAACAGAAUAAUAAAGAAUGGAAUAACAGAAGAAUUUCACCAUGUAUGCGGUACUUCGCAUAUACAUGUUAUUCCAACAUAAUAAUAAAGAAUGGAAUAACAUAAGAAUUUCACCAAGUAUAGGGUAUCCCGCGUAUACAGGUUAUUCCAACAAAAUAAUAAAGAAUGGAAUAACAUAAGUUCUCUUCAUGAAUACGAAAGAAAUAAUACCCCUUACCUUAGAAGAACUGGAUAUUGGAAAAGUGAGGUAGCAGAAUACUUUUCUUCUUUCUCUCUAUAGUUUCUCUCUCUAGAGUUUUAGUGAAUUCGUAAGAAAUAAUGAAGGAAUGAGCUUCUAUUUAUAGGAGAAUGGACUGAAUAGUAACUAAUUCAUGAAC
RNAcentral lists this long non-coding RNA (5328 nucleotides) under Panax ginseng (ginseng). RNAcentral's name for it is "long non-coding RNA (PGIN_LNC000590)". Lineage: Eukaryota; Viridiplantae; Streptophyta; Magnoliopsida; Apiales; Araliaceae. The record is from RNAcentral.